RNAcentral lists this ribosomal RNA (93 nucleotides) under uncultured bacterium. Its description in RNAcentral is "partial 16S ribosomal RNA". It matches the Rfam family "Bacterial small subunit ribosomal RNA", at positions 1390 to 1482 of the family's 1533-position model. The record is from RNAcentral.
CCGCCCGUCACACCAUGGGAGUUGAUUGCACCUGAAGCAGGUAGCCUGACCGCAAGGAGGGCGCCUACCACGGUGUGGUCAAUGACUGGGGUG